GUCCCAGCCGCCGCGGUAAUACCGGCAGCCCGAGUGAUGGCCGAUCUUAUUGGGCCUAAAGCGUCCGUAGCUGGCUGCGCAAGUCCGUCGGGAAAUCCACUCGCCCAACGAGUGGGCGUCCGACGGAAACUGCACAGCUUGGGACCGCAAGGCUCGAAGGGUACGGCCGGGGUAGGAGUGAAAUCCUGUAAUCCCGUCCGGACCACCGAUGGCGAAAGCACUUCGAGAAAACGGAUCCGACAGUGAGGGACGAAAGCUAAGAUCGCGAACCGGAUUAGAUACCCCGGUAGUCC
RNAcentral lists this ribosomal RNA (293 nucleotides) under uncultured bacterium. Its description in RNAcentral is "partial 16S ribosomal RNA". It matches the Rfam family "Archaeal small subunit ribosomal RNA", at positions 455 to 747 of the family's 1478-position model. The record is from RNAcentral.